Molecule: non-coding RNA, 212 nt
Filed under: Rhodanobacter spathiphylli
Lineage: Bacteria; Pseudomonadati; Pseudomonadota; Gammaproteobacteria; Lysobacterales; Rhodanobacteraceae
Source: RNAcentral
CGAUAUGUUGUGUCCGUCGGUGCCAAUCCAGACCUACGGUCGGGCUGGCUUAAUAGGGAAUCCGGUGCGAAUCCGGAACUGCCCCGCAGCGGUAAGCGGAAACGAACGCCAUCACAUGCACUGGCCGCCAUGGCUGGGAAGCGAAGGCAAGUAGGCGGGUCGCAAGACCCAUGUCCGCGAGUCCGAAGACCUGCCGACGCGAUACGACCGGA